Molecule: long non-coding RNA, 3194 nt
Organism: Magallana angulata
Lineage: Eukaryota; Metazoa; Mollusca; Bivalvia; Ostreida; Ostreidae
Exons: 4
Source: RefSeq, a predicted model, not a curated record
CGCACUGGCAAGUUAUGCAUAUUAGCUAGUCUGCGCAUGCGUAGUCAUUGUUCAUUUUGUAAACAUCCAUGAUUGUCUACGGUUUGUGAAAGAAGAUGUGUACAUGAAUUACAACCCCAUCCGUCCAAUUUUACGAUAUUCUGCGACUUCAACAAUUCACUAACGGGACCUGGUGUGUGUUCUCAUAGGUAACGUUAUCUAUAUCCCGUUUUUUAGCGAUUUAUCAAGGCUUCAUGGUACUGCAGAAGUGAUUUUCGCGCGGUUCAAAAUGGCGCCAGUGACACUCCAGUCAUAACAUUGUUGCCCAUCGAUGCCAAAGUUAUUGUGUGCGAUGUACCAGAGACGUGGAUGUAAUUUAUUAUACAGCAGUUUGAACCUGUGUAUAUUUGCGUGUAAUGUGUGAAAAUAUCUGUGUCAACUUUUUCUAUUGUUUAUUUCAUAAUGUCAACAUUGAUAGUGGGCGAUUCGCAUGUGAACAGACUCAAAACAUUCUUAGGUUCACAUCGUUCCGUUAAUUUUGUGUUUAAUAUAUAUGAACUCAAAGAGGUGAACAAUUUCGGUAUAAGUGGAGGACUUGUGAACAAUGGUCACCAUCUAUCCCUUAUUACAUCUGCAGUACGACGGUGUAGACCUCAGCACCUAAUUGUUUGCAUUGGAGGCAAUGAUUUGGACUCGAGUGAAAUAAAUUUUAGUUUGGAAUGUAUUGUUUCUAAAUUGACUGCCAAUGUGACUCAACUUAAAAGGUGUUUCCAUUUAAAGUAUGUUACCGUGCUUAGUUUUCUCCCUAGAGAAGUGACUUAAUUAUAAUCAACGAGUCAAAAAAGCCAAUAGACUUCUUAAGCAAUUUUGUGCUUGUCACACAGUAACAUUUUGGAAGCUGAGAGGAUUCGCGGAAAGUCAGAAACCAAUCUUAUGCGACGGGGUUCAUCUUAAUGACUUGGGGUUCCAUAAACUGUUUAGAGAGAUUAGAGGUGUCCUAUUAAUUCAGCUAAGACAGGAACCCAAGCAUAGUCCCUCUGUAAACAGCAAUGACGACAGGGGCUUCUAGCUUUCAAAGCAUCCAGAUCAAUCUGCAGAUAAGACUUUCCAUCACUUAUUAUAAUUUGUUUGGAUACAGAUUUUGAUGGCAUCCACACCAAAACGCAGGAGGCGGAACAAGACAGCCUCGCAUCCUCCCACAGAAACCCAACCUCAAAGCGGUCUUAUGUCUCAUGAGGACAGGGCCACAAUGAUAAGGAUGUGCAUGGCCUCUAUCAUCCCAACCAUUGAAAAUACUUGUCGACGCUAUAUGGAUGAAUAUCCCCAUGGUGAGAGCAAUCCUUCAUUGUCAAUCCCCAUGCAGACUGCAACUUCACAACAGCAAUCAGCCGACACUCAACAAGCCUCUUCGCAAGCAGUAACACCUGACCAUUCCCUACUGCAAGAGAUAAUUUCUUAAGGUGAAACAAUUCAAAGCCCGCUUUCCACAUAUGGACAACGAGCCAACUCCAGUUCCUCCAGCAUUUGUGCGGAUUUGACUGAAACAACCAUUUUUUUAGUCCGCAACUCUCUGUCUGAAUCAACAUUAUCAGCUUACAAAUCAGCUUAUUUAACCUACAACUGUUUUAUUGAACAACCCUUUAACAUAACGCAUCUCCUCUACCACCCUGUCACUUAGUUUUAUUUUCCAACUUGGUAACUACACGGAUAUUACACAACAUUUCACCAUUCGUAAAAUGCUUCAGGGAUUCCGGAAAUCGAAACCAUCAUCUGACUCACGGCUACCUAUAACCCCAACAAUUUUGAAGAAAAUAAUUCAUGCUUUGGAGUUUAGUACCACAUCAGCUUUUACUAAAUCCCUCCUCCGGGCCAUGUUUACCUUAGCAUUUUGUGCUUUUUUACGAGUAGGAGAGCUUACCAAAACAAAUGCUCAAACCCAGCAUUUCCUUCUUUUUGGAUAUAUCACGUAAGGAUCCAAUAGUCCAUGCAAUAGGUAUAUACUAGUAGAUAUACAUAUACCUCACUUUAAGCAUUCUAAAGCAAACACAACUACUCUACGCCUGCAGCAAAAUACGACAGAUCCUUUAGUUUGCCCAUGCCAAGUACUUCUACAUUACCUAAAUCUUAGGAAACAUUCCUCACCAUCAGAGCCGUUAUUUUCCUUCAUGGAUGGUUCGCCCAUCUCGCGUCAAUACUUCACAGAGCAACUGCGUUCGGCUUUAGCGUUUUGUAAUUUGGACUUGCAUCUUUACAAAGCUCAUAGCUUCCGCAUUUAGGCUGCUACUACAGCUGCCUCUCAGGGGUUUUCGGAAUUACAAAUUCAGAGCAUGGGUAGAUUGAACUCUGGUGCUUUUGAAAAGUACAUUAGAAUCCCAACACUUAAGUUUUGAUGCACAUUCGUUUGAGUUUUGACAUUUUUUAAUGGACAGUGAAGACAGGGGCUUCACGAUCCUUUUUUUCUAGCAACCAUUAGACAGGGGCUACUGGUUGUGUUUUGAAUAUCUGUGCCAUUAUCUUACUUUGAGUCAGGGGCUCAAACAGUCAAUUUGCUUGUACAUGUUUUGUCUUUUGUAAUAAUAGUCUUUAUGUUGUAACCUUUUUUAGUUAAUAGUUAAUAUCAACCAUUAGACAGGAGCUACUGGUUGUCUUUUUGACUUAUCUUACUUUUAGUCCGGGAAUAAAACACCCAAAUUUGCUUGUACAUGUAUGUUUUUUCUAAAAAUAGUCGUUAUGUUGAAGGGUGUUCCUUUUCCACAAAUUAGUGAUUUUGUUAUAACUUUAACAAUUUUUCUUAAUCAUGCACUGACAUUUCUGUUCAAUUGCAAUGUGGUUUUUGGAUAUGGGGCGUUAACAAGAUUGUCUAUAUUUAUAUAUAUACAGGUAUAUAAACCUAUCGAUGAGUGAUAUAACCUAUCUUGUUAAGGUGGCAGAUGAACACCCCAUAUCUUUACUUAUAUACCAGAUACUUUAUUAUCUAUUUCUGCCAAAGGUCUAAAGCUUUUACUAGACUCAAUCGCAGGAUACUUUGUGAUAUUUUCAAGGUUCUAUGUAUGAAUAUUGUUCUUCGAGUUUUAUGUCAUUUAUUGUCAGGAUACUUUGUGAUAUUUUCAAGGUUUUAUGUUGUUCUUCGAGUUUUAUGUCAUUUAUUUGAGGAAAUGCCUAUUUUCUACUUGUAACAUCACAUCACUUAUUCUUCAUUUCGUAUUAUAUUAUAU